AAAGUAUUUGUUAGACGAAUAACCUGGAAAGGUUAAUCAGAGAAGGUAAUAAUCCUGUAGUCGAAAACGAAUACCCUCUUGAGUGGAUCCUGAGUACGACGGAGCACGUGAAAUUCCGUCGGAAUCUGGGAGGACCAUCUCCUAAGGCUAAAUACUCUCUAGUGACCGAUAGUGAACCAGUACCGUGAGGGAAAGGUGAAAAGUACCCCGGAAGGGGAGUGAAAGAGAACUUGAAACCGUGUGCUUACAAGUAGU
This 255-nucleotide ribosomal RNA is filed under the name Staphylococcus coagulans. Its description in RNAcentral is "partial 23S ribosomal RNA". It matches the Rfam family "Bacterial large subunit ribosomal RNA", at positions 319 to 574 of the family's 2925-position model. The record is from RNAcentral. Lineage: Bacteria; Bacillati; Bacillota; Bacilli; Caryophanales; Staphylococcaceae.